RNAcentral lists this microRNA (21 nucleotides) under Oryza sativa (Asian cultivated rice). The record is from RNAcentral. Lineage: Eukaryota; Viridiplantae; Streptophyta; Magnoliopsida; Poales; Poaceae.
UAGCCAAGGAGACUGCCCAUG